Molecule: ribosomal RNA, 484 nt
Filed under: uncultured bacterium
Lineage: Bacteria
Description: partial 16S ribosomal RNA
Rfam family: Bacterial small subunit ribosomal RNA
Source: RNAcentral
AUUGAACGCUGGCGGCAGGCCUAACACAUGCAAGUCGAGCGGAUUAAGGGAGCUUGCUCCUGGAUUCAGCGGCGGACGGGUGAGUAAUGCCUAGGAAUCUGCCUGGUGUUGUUGGAUAACGUCCGGAAACGGGCGCUAAUACCUCAUACGUCCUGAUGUAUAUAGUUGGGGAUCUUCGGACCUCACGCUAUCAGAUGAGCCUAGGUCGGAUUAGCUAGUUGGUGGGGUAAAGGCCUACCAAGGCGACGAUCCGUAACUGGUCUGAGAGGAUGAUCAGUCACACUGGAACAGAGACAGGGUCCGGACUCCUACGGGAGGCAGCAGUGGGGAAUAUUGGACAAUGGGCGAAAGCCUGAUACAGCCAUGCCGCGUGUGUGAAGAAGGUCUUCGGAUUGUAAAGCACUUUAAGUUGGGAGGAAGGGCAGUAAGUUAAUACCUUGCUGUUUUGACGUUACCAACAGAAUAAGCACCGGCUAACUUCGUG